CUUUCUUUUCCAAACUCAACCCGUGUUCUCUGCACUUUCUUCUCCCAAAACCCUAAUCCGCGCCGCCCCCUUCUCCAUCUUAUCUAUGGCCGUCUCCACCUUCAAUGGAGAAAUCAAUACCAUUUUGUUUCUCUUCUCCUCACGAUCUCUUUAGAGAACCAAAAAAAGCCACAGACUCUCAUCCCUGCCGCCGCACAUCCAGAUCGCGUGGAAUCUCCCCUCCCCGCCGUCGCACACCCAGAUCGCGUGGAAUCUACCCUCCCCGCCGUCGCACAUUCAGCUGCCGUCACACCAUUCCAGCUGAUUCUGUAAAGUGUUGAAAAAGAUGACUACUCUAAUCCCAUAGAAGAUUUGAAACAUCGUCAAAUGAAUUUGGGAGGGAAGUUAAGGAAAACCGGAUAGUUGAAUACACUAGACGAAAGGCAAAGAUUGAUCUUCUGUAAAGAAACCACAUGUAGAUGCUUUAUAGUGACUUUCAUUGCUAGAAAUUUCAAAAACAUCAUAUUGCCCAGAAGUGUAACUUAGCAUGUAUAUUAAUCUGGAAAUAAAUAUUAUUUUUUGUUCAGACACUUCAAGGGAGAAUAUUUAGCUAUAAGUGAUGCAAAGAAUCUACUUAGUUGUUAUCUCGAUACUGAUAUUCAGAAACAUUGUCCCUUUUAUUGGCAUUGUAGGCUACACGCUUACUACUAUAAUGGAAGUUGUUGCAUAUGGAGAAGACAUGGCCAUUUUUCUAAUAGAGUUUUCAAGUUUUAAACAUUUUGAUAUUCUUUGGUCCUAUAAUAUUGUGAUACAUACUGAGUUUUUCCUUUUUACCUUUGUAGCUCUUGCACUUGGCUCUUACUACUCCAAAUCUAUAUGAUUUCUACAACUAUAGACCUACUAAACCAAAUACGAUUUACUUCUAAAUGAGUUCAUACAGGAGUAAAAUCACUCUCUCUUGCACUUUAUGUUAAUAACCAAACACAACAUUUAUCAAAAUGAGAUCCAAUGCAAGAAAUUGUAUUCAUAUAUUUCAUACCUUUCAUUCUAACAAUAUUUAUCAAAACCCACACUCAUCACGUUGUUCUUGAACAAAGUUUCAGGGGAAAAUUUGUGGUGUAGUUAAUCGAUAGAGAUCGAGGUGAAAGGAUUCAGUGAGAUAAUGGUGCAGUUCUGUUAUCACAUUAUACAUGUUUAUGAUACAUAAUGACACAACUACCAGAAACUGACAUCAAGAGGUCUUUGAACUUAUACUGCAGACAUGUCUUGCUUUGAUAAUGCAGUAUUCUUGCACUUGAGUUAAGCACAGGUUUGUAUUUGAAGCAGAGUAGGUUCGCUCCGGCUUAGGUAGCGAGGAAGCUGAAUUUCUUGCUGAGAUGUGAGAACGUCGAGAUUUAGGUUGGAUUGGAGCAAGGGUCAGUGUUGAAACCAAACUCUAAAUAGCUAAUUCUCAGUAUUGGAUGUUUGGUACUAUGUGUGAAUCUCAUGCACAACAGUCCGAUUAAGAGAUCUUCAUUGUGAAUCACAAUGUCACGACGAGAUGCUUUCGGAAAAAAAGGUGUAACUUUGUCGAGUAGGAGUGUCGGUCUUUGCAUGCCGUUGUUUCAAUGUUGCACAAUUAUAAUAUGGUGAAAUUUGUUGGUUCUGGUGUAAAUUGGUUUUGGAGUAAAUUUGUUUUAGGUUUAGCAGGGUUUUCAUUUUCUUUUGUAUCAUGUUACUCUUGGCAUGUCUCAUGCCUUAUUUGACUUUAUUUAAUAUAAUUUCUUUUUUUUUU
Molecule: long non-coding RNA, 1753 nt
Organism: Vicia villosa (hairy vetch)
Lineage: Eukaryota; Viridiplantae; Streptophyta; Magnoliopsida; Fabales; Fabaceae
Exons: 3
Source: RefSeq, a predicted model, not a curated record